RNAcentral lists this ribosomal RNA (513 nucleotides) under Ammothea carolinensis. RNAcentral describes it as "partial 16S ribosomal RNA". The stretch from base 382 to 513 matches the Rfam family "Bacterial large subunit ribosomal RNA", at positions 2473 to 2602 of the family's 2925-position model. Lineage: Eukaryota; Metazoa; Arthropoda; Pycnogonida; Pantopoda; Ammotheidae. The record is from RNAcentral.
CAUGUUUUAAUGAAUAUUAAUAUUAAAUUUGCCCUGCCCAAUGAUUAAUGUUUUAAUGGCCGCAGUAAAUUGACUGUGCAAAGGUAGCAUAAUAAUUUGUCUUUUAAUUGAGGACUGGAAUGAAUGGGUGGACGUAAAAAUUUCUGUCUCUAUUUUUAUAAAAUUGAAUUUUACUUUUAAGUUAAAAGGCUAAUUGUGUAAUUAAAUAUUAUUAAGGGACGAAAAGACCCUAUCAAGUUUUAUAGUAUUAAAUAAUUGUUUUCAUUAUUAAUUUUUAUUAUUAUUUUUCUGGGGUGGAAUUAAUAUAAAUCUAUUAAAAAUUUUAUAAUUUUAUAAUUUAUUAUUGAUCUUUUUUAUUACUAAUUAAUAAAUUACUGUAGGGGUAACAGCAUAAUUAUUUUGGUAAGUUCAAAUUUAUAAAAUAGAUUAUGACCUCGAUGUUGGAUUAAAUUUACCUAAAGUUAAUGAAGAAGUUAUUAAGGUUAGUCUGUUCGACUAUUAAAAAUUUACGUG